AGCGAACGCUGGCGGCAGGCCUAACACAUGCAAGUCGAACGAACCUUUCGGGGUUAGUGGCGGACGGGUGAGUAACACGUGGGAACGUGCCUUUAGGUUCGGAAUAACUCAGGGAAACUUGUGCUAAUACCGAAUGUGCCCUUCGGGGGAAAGAUUUAUCGCCUUUAGAGCGGCCCGCGUCUGAUUAGCUAGUUGGUUGAGGUAAUGGCUCACCAAGGCGACGAUCAGUAGCUGGUCUGAGAGGAUGAUCAGCCACAUUGGGACUGAAACACGGCCCAAACUCCCUACGGAGGCAGGCGGGGGGAAACCUGGGGCAAUGGGGGAAGGCUGAAGCCGCCAAGGCGGGUGAAUUGUGGAGGUUUUAGGAUUGUAAAAUUCUUUCACCGGGGACGAUAAUGACGGUACCCGGAGAAGAAGCCCCGGCUAACUUCGUG
Molecule: ribosomal RNA, 434 nt
Filed under: uncultured bacterium
Lineage: Bacteria
Description: partial 16S ribosomal RNA
Rfam family: Bacterial small subunit ribosomal RNA
Source: RNAcentral